RNAcentral lists this long non-coding RNA (346 nucleotides) under Erythranthe guttata (spotted monkey flower). RNAcentral's name for it is "long non-coding RNA (EGUT_LNC000618)". Lineage: Eukaryota; Viridiplantae; Streptophyta; Magnoliopsida; Lamiales; Phrymaceae. The record is from RNAcentral.
UCUAUUAUAAUAGAAUUUAGAAAGAUUGGGUUUAUCGGCCCAUCUCAUUUUAUUAAUACUAUCUGUAUUGUCAUAUUUUGUAGAGCUAGUGCCAGGACUUUCUUCAAAAUCACUAUUUAAAGUAGAAAUAUUUAAUUUACUGAAUUUACUAGAAAUGAUUUUUUCAAAAUCAGAAACAGAAGGUUCAAUUUUGAAAUUGUUUAAUUCAACAAGAGACUGUAUAGAAGAGGCAGUCUUAACAAUGGUACUUUUAUCAAGUAAAUCAGACUUAGUCUGAGUCUUAGUUUGGGAUAAUAUUUUGUCAAUUUUAUCAUGUAAAGAUAUAAUUUCCUCACCUAUAAUCGAA